AUUGAACGCUGGCGGCAGGCCUAACACAUGCAAGUCGAGCGGUAGAGAGGUGCUUGCAUCUCUUGAGAGCGGCGGACGGGUGAGUAAUGCCUAGGAAUCUGCCUAGUGGUGGGGGAUAACGUUCGGAAACGGACGCUAAUACCGCAUACGUCCUACGGGAGAAAGCGGGGGAUCUUCGGACCUCGCGCCAUUAGAUGAGCCUAGGUCGGAUUAGCUAGUUGGUGAGGUAAUGGCUCACCAAGGCGACGAUCCGUAACUGGUCUGAGAGGAUGAUCAGUCACACUGGAACUGAGACACGGUCCAGACUCCUACGGGAGGCAGCAGUGGGGAAUAUUGGACAAUGGGCGAAAGCCUGAUCAGCCAUGCCGCGUGUGUGAAGAAGGUCUUCGGAUUGUAAAGCACUUUAAGUUGGGAGGAAGGGUAGUAACCUAAUACGUUGCUACUUUGACGUUACCGACAGAUAAGCACCGGCUAACUUCGUGCCAGCAGCC
This 491-nucleotide ribosomal RNA is filed under the name uncultured bacterium. RNAcentral's name for it is "bacterial SSU rRNA". It matches the Rfam family "Bacterial small subunit ribosomal RNA", at positions 30 to 516 of the family's 1533-position model. The record is from RNAcentral.